UAAAACAACCCUACAGAUUAUAGGCUUCAGUAUAUAAAGUAUUUACCAAAAACUCAAUAUUUUUGUAGAAAAUUUCAAAAAAUAUGACAAUAUUGUUUUAAUGCCUAGUUGUAUCCUGCACUAACAUAUGAUAUUGUUUGAAGAGGUUUGGAGCCUUUGUCGUCUCCGUUUAUCAAGAAAAUAAUAAUUUUAUAGUGGUUAUUCCAUCGAUUUAGAGAAUAUUAUGAAGUUUUACUAAAUUAAUUGAUAAAAACAACUGAUUGAUGCUCAUUUACCAUGAAAAAGAGUUUAACAUACAUUAAUACAAAUGUAGAAUAUGGUUAAAAAUUUGAAAACAACACUAAAGAUUAUAGGCUUCAGUAUAUAAAGUAUUUACCAAAAACUCAAUAUAUUUGUAGGAGUUAAGCCCAUAGAUUUUGAGAAAAUUUCAAAAAAUAUGACAAAAUUGUUUUAAUGCCUAGUUGCAUCCUGCACUAACAUAUGAUGAUGUUCAAAGAGGUUUGGAGCCUUUGUGCUCUCCGUUUAUCAAGAAAAUAAUAAUUUUAUAAUGGUUAUUCAAUCGAUUUAGGGAGUAUUAUGAAAUUUUACUAAAUUAAUUGAUAAAAACAAUUGAACGAUGCUCAUUUACCAUGAAAAAGAGUUUAGCAUACAUUAAUACAAAUGUAGAAUAUGGUAGAAAUUUUAAAACAACACUAAAUAUUAUAGGCUUCAGUAUAUAAAGUAUUUACCAAAAACUCAAUAUUUUUGUAGGGGUUAGCCCAUAGAUUUUGAGAAAAUUUCAAAAAAUAUGACAAUAUUGUUUUUAUUCCUAGUUGCAUCCAGCACUAACAUAUGAUGAUGUUCAAAAAGGUUUGGAGCCUUUGUCGUCUCCGUUUAUCAAGAAAAUAAUAAUUUUAUAGUGGUUAUUCCAUUGAUUUAGGGAGUAUUAUGAAGUUAUAUUAAAUUAAUUGAUAAAAACAAUUGAACGAUGCUCAUUUACCAUGAAAAAGAGUUUAGCAUACAUUAAUACAAAUGUAGAAUAUGGUAAAAAUUUUAAAACAACACUAAAGAUUAUAGGCUUCAGUAUAUAAAGUAUUUACCAAAAACUCAAUAUUUUUGUAGGGCCCAUAGAUUUUGAGAAAAUUUCAAAAAAUAUGACAAUAUUGUUUUAAUGCCUAUUUGCAUCCUGCACUAACAUAUGAUGAUGUUCAAAGAGGUUUGGAGCCUUUGUGCUCUCCGUAUGUUCAAAGAGGUUUGGAGCCUUUGUGCUUUCCGUUUAUCAAGCAAAUAAUAAUUUUAUAGUGGUUAUUCCAUCGAUUUAGGGAGUAUUAUGAAGUUUUACUAAAUUAUUUGAUAAAAACAAUUGAAAGAUGCUCAUUUACCCUGAAAAAGAGUUUAGCAUACAUUAAUACAAAUGUAGAAUAUGGUAGAAAUUUUAAAACAACACUAAAUAUUAUAGGCUUCAGUAUAUAAAGUAUUUACCAAAAACUCAAUAUAUUUGUAGGGGUUAGCCCAUAUAUUUUGAGAAAAAUUUCAAAAAAUAUGACAAUAUUGUUUUAAUGCCUAGUUGCAUCCUGCACUAACAUAUGAUAAUGUUCAAAAAGGUUUGGAGCCUUUGUCGUCUCUGUUUAUCAAGAAAAUAAUAAUUUUAUAGUUGUUAUUCCAUCGAUUUAGGGAGUAUUAUGAAGUUUUACUAAAUUAAUUGAUAAAAACAAUUGAAAGAUGCUCAUUUAGCCUGAAAAAAAGUUUAGCAUACAUUAAUACAAAUGUAGAAUAUGGUAAAAAUUUUAAAACAACACUAAAGAUUAUAGGCUUCAGUAUAUAUAGUAUUUACCAAAAACUCAAUAUUUUUGUAGGGGUUAGCCCAUAUAUUUUGAGAAACAUUUCAAAAAAUAUGACAAUAUUUUUUUAAUGCCUAGUUGCAUCCUGCACUAACAUAUGAUGAUGUUCAAAG
This 1933-nucleotide long non-coding RNA is filed under the name Brassica napus (rape). Its description in RNAcentral is "long non-coding RNA (BNAP_LNC026204)". The record is from RNAcentral. Lineage: Eukaryota; Viridiplantae; Streptophyta; Magnoliopsida; Brassicales; Brassicaceae.